UGGUGGGUAGUUUGACUGGGGCGGUCUCCUCCUAAAGAGUAACGGAGGAGCACGAAGGUUAGCUAAUCCUGGUCGGACAUCAGGAGGUUAGUGCAAAGGCAUAAGCUAGCUUGACUGCGAGAGUGACGGCUCGAGCAGGUGCGAAAGCAGGUCUUAGUGAUCCGGUGGUUCUGAAUGGAAGGGCCAUCGCUCAACGGAUAAAAGGUACUCCGGGGAUAACAGGCUGAUACCGCCCAAGAGUUCAUAUCGACGGCGGUGUUUGGCACCUCGAUGUCGGCUCAUCACAUCCUGGGGCUGAAGUAGGUCCCAAGGGUAUGGCUGUUCGCCAUUUAAAGUGGUACGCGAGCUGGGUUUAGAACGUCGUGAGACAGUUCGGUCCCUAUCUGCCGUGGGCGCUGGAGAAUUGAGGGGGGCUGCUCCUAGUACGAGAGGACCGGAGUGGACGCAUCACUGGUGUUCGGGUUGUCAUGCCAAUGGCAUUGCCCGGUAGCUAAAUGCGGAAGAGAUAAGUGCUGAAAGCAUCUAAGCACGAAACUUGCCCCG
This 543-nucleotide ribosomal RNA is filed under the name Citrobacter freundii. RNAcentral's name for it is "partial 23S ribosomal RNA". It matches the Rfam family "Bacterial large subunit ribosomal RNA", at positions 2259 to 2801 of the family's 2925-position model. The record is from RNAcentral. Lineage: Bacteria; Pseudomonadati; Pseudomonadota; Gammaproteobacteria; Enterobacterales; Enterobacteriaceae. RNAcentral also lists the same sequence under 2 other names.